Vicia faba (fava bean) is the source of this 207-nucleotide non-coding RNA. NCBI's taxonomy places the organism in Eukaryota, Viridiplantae, Streptophyta, Magnoliopsida, Fabales, Fabaceae. The record is from the annotation of a GenBank genome assembly.
AUGAAAGAGGAUCGAUCUUUGAUACGAUGCCGUUUAAGGAAGGUAAGAAAUAGAAGCGUAACGACGGCACCAGGAAGCGGCACCUGUAUACUACCUUUGCGCUACGCCUACGCGGGUUAUUUUGUUUGUUGUGAAUCUCUGACAGAAGUUACUUGUGGACCAGCAAGGAUGAAAUCUGUAAGAAGGUGUCUAUUGCGUGGGACAUAA